RNAcentral lists this ribosomal RNA (1445 nucleotides) under uncultured bacterium. RNAcentral describes it as "bacterial SSU rRNA". It matches the Rfam family "Bacterial small subunit ribosomal RNA". The record is from RNAcentral.
AGAGUUUGAUCCUGGCUCAGGAUGAACGCUGGCGGCGUGCUUAACACAUGCAAGUCGAACGAACCUUCGGGUUAGUGGCGGACGGGUGAGUAACGCGUGAGAAUCUGCCCUCAGGAGGGGGAUAACAGUUGGAAACGACUGCUAAUACCCCAUAUGCCGAGAGGUGAAAUGAAUUUCGCCUGGGGAUGAGCUCGCGUCUGAUUAGCUUGUUGGUGGGGUAAUAGCCUACCAAGGCUUCGAUCAGUAGCUGGUCUGAGAGGACGAUCAGCCACACUGGGACUGAGACACGGCCCAGACUCCUACGGGAGGCAGCAGUGGGGAAUUUUCCGCAAUGGGCGAAAGCCUGACGGAGCAACGCCGCGUGAGGGAUGGAGGCCUUUGGGCUGUAAACCUCUUUUCUCAAGGAAGAAGAUCUGACGGUACUUGAGGAAUAAGCCACGGCUAAUUCCGUGCCAGCAGCCGCGGUAAUACGGGAGUGGCAAGCGUUAUCCGGAAUUAUUGGGCGUAAAGCGUCCGCAGGCGGCCGUUUAAGUCUGUUGUUAAAUCGUGGAGCUCAACUCCAUCACGGCAAUGGAAACUGUUCGGCUUGAGUAUGGUAGGGGCAGAGGGAAUUUCCGGUGUAGCGGUGAAAUGCGUAGAUAUCGGGAAGAACACCAGUGGCGAAAGCGCUCUGCUGGGCCAUUACUGACGCUCAUGGACGAAAGCCAGGGGAGCGAAAGGGAUUAGAUACCCCUGUAGUCCUGGCCGUAAACGAUGAACACUAGAUGUUGGGGGAAUCGACCCCCUCGGUGUCGUAGCUAACGCGUUAAGUGUUCCGCCUGGGGAGUACGCACGCAAGUGUGAAACUCAAAGGAAUUGACGGGGGCCCGCACAAGCGGUGGAGUAUGUGGUUUAAUUCGAUGCAACGCGAAGAACCUUACCAAGGCUUGACAUCCUGCGAAUCUCUAAGAAAUUAGAGAGUGCCUUCGGGAACGCAGUGACAGGUGGUGCAUGGCUGUCGUCAGCUCGUGUCGCGAGAUGUUGGGUUAAGUCCCGCAACGAGCGCAACCCACGUUUUUAGUUGCCAGCAUUCAGUUGGGCACUCUAGAAAGACUGCCGGUGACAAACCGGAGGAAGGUGUGGACGACGUCAAGUCAUCAUGCCCCUUACGCCUUGGGCUACACACGUACUACAAUGCUGCGGACAAAGAGUAGCGAUCUUGCGAAAGUUAGCUAAUCUCAUAAACCGUGGCUCAGUUCAGAUCGUAGGCUGCAACUCGCCUACGUGAAGGAGGAAUCGCUAGUAAUCGCAGGUCAGCAUACUGCGGUGAAUACGUUCCCGGGCCUUGUACACACCGCCCGUCACACCAUGGAAGUUGGCCAUGCCCGAAGUCGUUACUCUAACCUUUUGGAAGAGGGCGCCGAAGGCAGGGCUAAUGACUGGGGUGAAGUCGUAACAAGGUAACC